GGUCUUUCAGGCUGUGAUCUAUGCUGCUUCCUUAUCCUGAAAAUACAGAAUGAGAUACAUUGGUAAUCAGCUUUUACUACAGGUGAGGCUCUGCCCACUGAAGUGGAUACUGCAAUACUGAGGAAAUAAAUGUCAUUGGUGAAUACCAAGCAUAGCAAUAAAAAUAGCGACAAUUAUUUGCAUUGUCAUAAUGGCAAAUGCAAAUAUGUCACUAGUCUACCAACUGACAAACAGGAUUUUCCUUACACCUAUUUGUAUAAUUCCUUUUCAUAACAAUUAUGUCCUGCAAAUUAAACAAUUACAAUCAUGGAA
Long non-coding RNA from Portunus trituberculatus (swimming crab), 312 nucleotides. RefSeq lists it as uncharacterized. The record is from RefSeq and is a predicted model, not a curated record. The transcript has 2 exons. NCBI's taxonomy places the organism in Eukaryota, Metazoa, Arthropoda, Malacostraca, Decapoda, Portunidae.